UAUGAAGAACGCAGCGAAAUGCGAUAAGUAAUGUGAAUUGCAGAAUUCAGUGAAUCAUCGAAUCUUUGAACGCACAUUGCGCCCCUUGGUAUUCCGGGGGGCAUGCCUGUUCGAGCGUCAUUUCAACCCUCAAGCUCUGCUUGGUAUUGGGCACCGUCCUUUGCGGGCGCGCCUCAAAGACCUCGGCGGUGGCGUCUUGCCUCAAGCGUAGUAGAAUACACCUCGCUUCGGAGCGUAAGGCGUCGCCCGCCGGACGAACCUUCUGAACUUUUCUCAAGGUUGACCUCGGAUCAGGUAGGGAUACCCGCUGAACUUAAGCAUAUCAAUAAGCGGAGGA
RNAcentral lists this unclassified non-coding RNA (337 nucleotides) under soil metagenome. RNAcentral's name for it is "partial contains 5.8S ribosomal RNA, internal transcribed spacer 2, and large subunit ribosomal RNA". The stretch from base 2 to 120 matches the Rfam family "5.8S ribosomal RNA", at positions 36 to 154 of the family's 154-position model. The record is from RNAcentral.